AGCCUACACAGGGGAAUUAUAUGUUUGACUGUAAGAUACAAUGAACUAGCACAUGAUAGACAAGAGGACAUGAUAGGCAAUGUGCUUAAGUACAUGCUUUAUAUUAAUAAUGUAUAAUAGAAGAAGAAUAAACAACAACAACAACAACAAGGAGCUGGUCCACUUUAUUCAACACUCAAUCAAGACAAUGAUACUCCUCCUCCUGUCCCUCCUGCCUAUAAUCCUGAGGGAGUACAGGAAUACUCUGUAUUGAAGAGAGAGGGAGAGAAUAAGGGUCAACAGGGUCUGUCUACUGGUGCUACUGGACUAUAUUCAACCAUUAA
Long non-coding RNA from Amphimedon queenslandica, 323 nucleotides. RefSeq lists it as uncharacterized. NCBI's taxonomy places the organism in Eukaryota, Metazoa, Porifera, Demospongiae, Haplosclerida, Niphatidae. The transcript has 2 exons. The record is from RefSeq and is a predicted model, not a curated record.